AUGGCUAACAAAUGAAGGAUAAGGAUAACAAUCGUUCUUAAAGCAAUAGCAAGUAAAGUAAUGAAAUUGAAAUUUAGAAUUCACUUAAAUUGCAGAAAUCAGCUUUUAGACACGAAGGGAAAAUUCAAGCAAUAUUUAGGGCCGAAUUCUAUGUUUUGGACCAUUUCUUCAACAAGCAGCACUUUAAAACUCUUUUUCGCAUAUUUUUCAACUCCUUUUUUUUUUUUUUUUCAACUCUUCUUUUCUUUUCAACAAGCAUAAUAACUCACACUUCCCCCACACUUGUUUUCUGCCAUACAUUAAUCAAAAGAAAUUCAAUUUGAAUCAUGCUUUACUAUGCUUCAACAACAAGGGUAUGGAUGGUCCUAAACUAGGCUAGGUAAGGAUAAUGUGGUUUAACAAAGAAUGUAGGCUAUUAAGGCUCAAUGGGGUUAACUUAAACAUAUAACGAUAUGGGAUACAUGGCAGUUUGGCUUUGGUGGUGGUAA
Molecule: long non-coding RNA, 488 nt
Filed under: Malus domestica (apple)
Lineage: Eukaryota; Viridiplantae; Streptophyta; Magnoliopsida; Rosales; Rosaceae
Description: long non-coding RNA (MDOM_LNC017041)
Source: RNAcentral